This 1699-nucleotide long non-coding RNA is filed under the name Homo sapiens (human). RNAcentral's name for it is "non-protein coding LINC00652:9". Lineage: Eukaryota; Metazoa; Chordata; Mammalia; Primates; Hominidae. The record is from RNAcentral.
GCUAGGUUGACAUGGUACAAAGCCACAUUACCACGCUAAGUGUGGCUUUGAUUUUUAGAAACCGCCUCAUGCUAAGUCUAGGGAAUACAGUGGUUGAAUGGGGUGAGCGCUGACCUUUAGCUAUUCUGGAGGAACAUGUCACUUUCACUUAUUUUCUUUCAUGUUUUCCCACCCAGUGCUAUGGACUCUGAUCGCCCAACCAGAGCAAACCCAGAAGGACAACUCUCCAAGCCUUUCAAUCACUCCCACUAACCCGUAUUGUGGACACACUAUUGUGAGGCCUACUAAGGAUGUACUGCUGAUGACCUUUUGAAGGCCAGUGGACCUGCUCUGCAGACCCAGGCUCCUCUCCCAUGGAGCAUCCCAAGUCUGUCCUUAUGGGAAGAAGCAGGAGCCCUGUCUGGCUGUACCCCAAGCUGCUUUCUCUGGACCAAUGCUGUCAGCGAUAGAGCAAACAAGCCAAACAGCAGCUUGAAAAAUGCUUUCUACUUGGACAUACCCUCUUGCUACAGGGAACCCUUCCACCAUCAUGUGAAGAAGCCUGGUCUAGCCUGCUGGAGGAUGAGAGAUCACAUGGAAUGAGGCCACAAUCGUUCCAGCCAAAGCCCCAGUAAUAGAAUUAAGAUCAUCCAAGACCAUGGCAUCCCGCCUGAGAAGUUCAGAUGAGAAGGGCCACCUGAACAACCAACAGAAUCUUAAAAAGUAAAAAAUGAGUGUUGCCACUAUGCAUCUAUUAGAAUGGCAGAAAUCGAAGACACUGACAACAACAAAUGCUGGUGAGGAUGUGGAGCAACAGGAACUCUCACUCACUGAAGAUGGAAAUGCAAAAUAGUGCAGCUACUUUGGAAAACAGCUACUUUGGCUGUUUCUUACAACACUAAAUAUGCUAUUAUUAUAUGAUCCAGAAGUUUUGCUCCUUAGCACUUACCCAAAAAAGUUGAAAACUUAUGUACACACAAAAACCUGCACAUGGAUAUUCACAGCAGUUUUUGAUAUGGUUUGGCUCUGUGUCCCCACAGAAAUCUCAUCUUGUAUUUGUAUAAAUUUAUGGGGUACAAGAGUAAUUUUGUUAGCAUGCAUAGACAUGCAUAGACUGCAUAGCUCCCAUAAUUCCCACAUGUUGUGGGAGGGACCAGGUGGGAGGUGAUUGAAUCAUAGGGGCAGGUCUUUCCUGUCUUGUUCUUGUGAUAGUGAGUGGGUCUCACAAGAUCUGAUGGUUUUAAAUAACAGGAAUUUAUCUGCACAAGCUCUUUUAUUUUGCCUGCUGCCAUCCACAUAAGAUGUGACUUGCUCCUCCUUGCCUUCUGCCAUGAUUGUGAGGCCUCCCCAGCCAUGUGGAACUGUAAAUCCAAUUAAAUCUCUUUCUUUUGUAAAUUGCCCAGUCUUGGAUAUGUCUUUAUCAGCAGAGUAAAUGUGGACUAAUACAGUAAAUUGGUACCAGUAGAGUGGGAUGUUGCUGAAAAUAUCAUCAAAAAUGUGGAAGUAACUUUGGAACUGGGUAACAGGCAGAGGAUGGAACAGUUUGGAGGGCUCAGAAGAAGACAGAAAAAUGUGGGAAAGUUUGGAACUUCCUAGAGACCUGUUGAAUGGCUUUGACAAAAAUGCUGAUGGUGAUAUGAAUGAACAAUAAGGUGAAUGAACAAUAAGGACCAGGCUGAGGUGGUCUCAGAGGGAGAUGAGGAACUUGUUGGGAAAUGGA